This 612-nucleotide transfer RNA is filed under the name uncultured Prochlorococcus sp. RNAcentral describes it as "partial contains 16S ribosomal RNA, 16S-23S ribosomal RNA intergenic spacer, and 23S ribosomal RNA". The stretch from base 227 to 299 matches the Rfam family "tRNA". Lineage: Bacteria; Bacillati; Cyanobacteriota; Cyanophyceae; Synechococcales; Prochlorococcaceae. The record is from RNAcentral.
UGGAUCACCUCCUAACAGGGAGACAACAAAAUGUUUAAUAUUAUUAUUUUGUCACCUUAGGUCGAUCGGUAUCUCACGUUCUUAAUUUAUUAAGAAUUUCAUUUCCUAAGUUUUUCUAGGUCACACCCAUUAUUUUUCCUGGGCCAUUAGCUCAGGUGGUUAGAGCGCACCCCUGAUAAGGGUGAGGUCCCUGGUUCAAGUCCAGGAUGGCCCAUAUCUCUAUGUUGGGGGUAUAGCUCAGUUGGUAGAGCGCCUGCUUUGCAAGCAGGAUGUCAGCGGUUCGAGUCCGCUUACCUCCACUGAUUACCACCUCUUCCAUAAUCUGUAAAAAAGGAAAAUUUUUGAGUUGUGAUCAUAAUUCUGAACGAAUCUAGCUUCCUAAUGAAAAUAUUAAGAUGCUGGACUCAUUGAUUAAUUUCAUUGUUUUCAGAGAACCUUGACAACUGCAUAGAUUAUUUUUAAAAGACAAUAAGCAUCUUUAAUGAUGCAGAUUUAUUAUUUGUGCGAAUGCAUUAAUAACAAUUCUAUUAAGCUGAUGCUUCAAUUUUGAAGUUAUUGGUCAAGCUACAAAGGGCUCACGGAGGAUACCUAGGCACACAGAGGCGAUGAAGG